This 524-nucleotide ribosomal RNA is filed under the name uncultured bacterium. RNAcentral describes it as "partial 16S ribosomal RNA". It matches the Rfam family "Bacterial small subunit ribosomal RNA", at positions 28 to 523 of the family's 1533-position model. The record is from RNAcentral.
GACGAACGCUGGCGGCGUGCCUAAUACAUGCAAGUCGAACGCUUCUUUUUCCACCGGAGCUUGCUCCACCGGAAAAAAAAGAGUGGCGAACGGGUGAGUAACACGUGGGUAACCUGCCCAUCAGAAGGGGAUAACACUUGGAAACAGGUGCUAAUACCGUAUAACAAUCGAAACCGCAUGGUUUUGAUUUGAAAGGCGCUUUCGGGUGUCGCUGAUGGAUGGACCCGCGGUGCAUUAGCUAGUUGGUGAGGUAACGGCUCACCAAGGCCACGAUGCAUAGCCGACCUGAGAGGGUGAUCGGCCACAUUGGGACUGAGACACGGCCCAAACUCCUACGGGAGGCAGCAGUAGGGAAUCUUCGGCAAUGGACGAAAGUCUGACCGAGCAACGCCGCGUGAGUGAAGAAGGUUUUCGGAUCGUAAAACUCUGUUGUUAGAGAAGAACAAGGAUGAGAGUAACUGUUCAUCCCUUGACGGUAUCUAACCAGAAAGCCACGGCUAACUACGUGCCAGCCGCCGCAGUAA